This 684-nucleotide ribosomal RNA is filed under the name uncultured Candidatus Poseidoniales archaeon. RNAcentral's name for it is "bacterial SSU rRNA". It matches the Rfam family "Archaeal small subunit ribosomal RNA", at positions 1 to 691 of the family's 1478-position model. The record is from RNAcentral. Lineage: Archaea; Methanobacteriati; Thermoplasmatota; Candidatus Poseidoniia; Candidatus Poseidoniales.
UUCUGGUUGAUCCUGCCGGAGGCUACCGCUAUUGGAGUUCGAUUAAGCCAUGCGAGUCGAGAGUCUUAGGGACUCGGCGUACCGCUCAGUAACACGUGGGUAACCUGCCCUAUGCUGGGGAAUAACCUCGGGAAACUGAGAAUAAUACCCCAUAGUUCACCACGCCUGGAACGGUGGGUGGAUGAAAGCUCCGGCGGCAUAGGAUGGGCCUGCGACGUAUCAGGUUGUAGGGGGUGUAACGUACCCUCUAGCCAUCAACGCGUACGGGUGUUGGGAGACAUAGCCCGGAGAUGGAUUCUGAGACACGAAUCCAGACCCUACGGGGUGCAGCAGGCGCGAAAACUUGGCAAUGCGAGCAAUCGUGACCAGGGAACUCCAAGUGGCUGGGGUAAUACCCAGUUUUUUCUUGACUCUUCAAAGGUCUUGGAAUAAGGGGUGGGUAAGGACGGUGCCAGCCGCCGCGGUAAUACCGGCGCCUCAAGUGGUAGUCGCUUUUAUUGGGCCUAAAACGUCCGUAGCCGGUCUGGUGCAUUCGUGGGUAAAUCAACCCGCUCAACGGGUUGAAUUCUGCGAGCACGGCCAGACUUGGGACCGGGAGAGGUGUGGGGUACUCUCAGGGUAGGGGUAAAAUCCUGUCAUCCUGAGAGGACCACCUGUUGCGAAGGCGCCACACUAGAACGGAUU